Molecule: ribosomal RNA, 228 nt
Filed under: Clostridioides difficile
Lineage: Bacteria; Bacillati; Bacillota; Clostridia; Peptostreptococcales; Peptostreptococcaceae
Description: partial 23S ribosomal RNA
Rfam family: Bacterial large subunit ribosomal RNA
Source: RNAcentral
AGUCCACAUCGACGGGGAGGUUUGGCACCUCGAUGGCGGCUCAGCACAUCCUGGGGCUGUAGUAGGUCCCAAGGGUUGGGCUGUUCGCCCAUUAAAGUGGUACGCGAGCUGGGUUCAGAACGUCGUGGGACAGUUCGGUCCCUAUCCGUCGCAGGCGUAGGAAAUUUGAGAAGACCUGUCCUUAGUACGAGAGGACCGGGAUGGACGUACCUCUGGUGUACCAGUUGU